This is a long non-coding RNA of Carassius auratus (goldfish), 1007 nucleotides long. RefSeq lists it as uncharacterized. The transcript has 3 exons. Lineage: Eukaryota; Metazoa; Chordata; Actinopteri; Cypriniformes; Cyprinidae. The record is from RefSeq and is a predicted model, not a curated record.
GAACUUACCUUUAUAUUAUCUAAAGUUCGAACACGACCAGAAUGUGCGUGUCUACACAUACAAAAGAAACACGUAAAAAAUUACAGCGUUAACGCGAACAAACAGUGCGUGUUGACGCGGUCAAAAAUCACGCGUUUCGUUUAAGGAAUAUUGGCACCGUCCAACAUUAACACGCACAGUUUGUACGCGUAAAUACGAAGUAUAUGUUCGGGUGUCGCGUCAGACCGCACAACAGCCAAUAGCGUUGCUCUAUUUAGGAUUUCAUUUGCAUUUGUGAUGCGAUGGCACGUUGCUGUAUACGUCAGACGACAUUUCUUUCCGUGAGGGAUGAUGUGCUGUUAGAAUGCAGACAAUGGCCAGAUGUGUGGCAUGAUCUAGAGUGCAACUACUUGAUCCAGAAACGGCAAAUAGUAUCCUGAAUAGUCUGUCUGAAUUCAUGGAUAUUCUGGAAACAUUGCCUCAACCGCAAGUUCCCCAGGCUUACAGUGCUCCAUUGGUGAGGGUUUCUCUGGUCGACCACAAUAUUCCAUUACACAGGAGCAGUUCUGUGAAAUUAUUUGUUCAUGGCAGUACUAAAUUAAAACAAAUCUUCAAAAUUACACUUAUUUGUGUGAACAUUUUUUUAAUAUUCUGCAAGGUGUUUGUAAAGUUUUGACCACCAUAUCAUGCAAAAAUAUAUAAUAAACCCCACACAUUUAUUCUUGUUUUUAAUAUUCUCUUCAAAGCAAGCUAAAAGUUUUGAAGCUAAUGAGGGUGAAAGAUGUUUAUGGGCUGUUCAUCUGCUUUCUGAGUAAGUAGAAGGGUCUCUUUAAUGCCCCAUAACCACGACUUUAAUUGUGCCAUUAUACACAGCCUUGUCCACAUAUGUGCAUAUUAUAAUGGUUUCAUUGAACAAGCAUGAAAAGUUGAAACCCUUUUUAUUAAAGAUCUGUAAAAAAUGUGUAUAGUUGAAAACAUUUAUCUAAAAAUUCAUGUUAAAACUUAUAUAAGACAUGAGUGAUGUAAUA